This is a long non-coding RNA of Pipra filicauda (Wire-tailed manakin), 1852 nucleotides long. RefSeq lists it as uncharacterized. The record is from RefSeq and is a predicted model, not a curated record. NCBI's taxonomy places the organism in Eukaryota, Metazoa, Chordata, Aves, Passeriformes, Pipridae. The transcript is spliced from 12 exons.
GAAGAAAUUCAGAGUUUACUUGGAAACCUUACCUUUGUCUCAUCAGAGAACAUUGAUUUUGUUUUACAAGGUAUAGAAGAUGAGAGAAGCCAUUGGAGAGAAAAAGGGAAUUGAGGCUCCUGCAGUUCCAAUCCAGCUGUUCAGUAUCUCCCACUCUGUAAAAUGCACACAUUAAAAGAAUAUGAGUGGGGGAAUUCAUUAGCCUCAGACCAGCCCUGUUACUGCAGGAACCAUGGAGGGCUGUUUGUCUGACAGGCUGAGAGCAGUCCAUGCUCUAUCAGUGCCUCUGCUGGUUGAAGCUUGGAGAGCUCAGUGCUGGUGAUGGUUGUUCCUACAAACACAUCUUACAGGAAAACUUCUCCUUCCUCCUGGACCCUGAAGUUUUGGAUUUAGUAAGAAGAUAACUGUCCCAAGACAAACAUUCUCAUGGAUACAGUAGAGUAUUUUAAAUGGUAUAUUGCUACAGUAAGGAACGAAAGGACAACUUCAGUUUGACUCUGGUGGCCUUAUCGACAUCAAGAAAAUACAUGGAAAAGUCCUUAGUUCUCUCACUGUGAUCAGAAAAAAUAAGGAGCAUUCUGCUUUACAAAGGAGACAACAAUUAGCUGGCUGUGUAGGCUGGAAAUGGGAAUUAAAAAUCCUAUGGAUUCAUAACUAACCAGAGUAGAUACAUAAAAGUCUAUUUGAUUUUCAUGUAUUUUAAUAAUUCCAAAUAUCUCAAGCAUAUUAUGGAAGAAGAAAAAAAAUAAUCUGCAGGAUUUUUCAAAAGUCAUGUCUCCAUUCUGAAGAAAUCAACCCUUGGACAGCUUUCUGGAUUCCUCUCCCUUCUUUCUUGUGAAAUGGAAGACACUAUCACAAGACAACCUCUAAUGGAGUCUCUGCUGAAUCCUGCCAUCAAGAGGACACUGAUUUCUGACUUCCAAAUCUCUCUCUUGGAGACUUUCUUGCAUUAAAUAAUAUUUUGACGAAAACUAGCUUUUGAAUGUCACAGUGUUGCUUAUUAGUGGUUGGUAGGUGUCAAUGUGCUAAUAGACACCUAGACUUCAAAAAAAGAAUCAAUAAAUCUCAGCAGCACAGAGAAAGUUUUGCUGUUUGCAUUAUUCUGGCUGCAGCACAGUGGAUCUGAGGAACCCAGGGGUGGGAGAGAGAAAUGAUGUUUUCAAUAAGGAAUACUAGUGGGAGAAAAGGGAGGGACAGGAAUAGUGUCUGCAAAGAAAAUAUAACAAGAAGAGAGCUUUUAGCUCAGCCAGGAUCACACAGAACAUGGAAAGGAUGCAAAGGCAGACCACAGAACUGAUGAAAGAAAAAAUUCUUUCAGUUCUUCUAAGUGAACUGUAAAAGAUGUAUUGGAACCAGAAAGCCAUUGAAAAGUCAUUUCAUUGACAUCCCAAAGGAGAAGACCCAUCUUGAACAGCUGCAAAGCAGAUUACACCAACACAGGAAAAGAGUUUUAGUAAUUUAUAUACAUUAUCCUACAGACAGAUUAUAAGCAUUUGAAUGUGCUGACCACAAAGCAAACCCAUCAAAUAUUUAAAGGAAGAUGCCAGCAAGAAAUGUGGUUUAUAGCGGACCUUGAGUGUGAAUAAGUUUCCUGGUCAUCCCAAAGGUGUUGAUACAAAGGCUGUUUUCCAGUUGUGGCUUGUCCCGUUACACUCAAUUUUAACAACCUGACAUGUACCCAAGACCCCUCUUGUCUUCAGGCACACCAGAAAGAAGGACUUUCUUCAACCUGAAUUCCUCAAUCAUGCAGAUUGAUGUCUUACUUGCACACAAGGUGUCACUACUGAUUUGCACGUGCUCCCCUGAGAUGCAGGUGGUGCUCAUAGUGCUGCUCCUGGGUCCUCCCCUACCC